UACGGAGGAUCCGAGCGUUAUCCGGAUUUAUUGGGUUUAAAGGGUGCGUAGGCGGAAUGAUCAGUCAGUUGUGAAAGUUUGAGGCUCAACCUUAAAAUUGCAGUUGAUACUGUCAUUCUUGAGUGUACAAGAGGUGGGCGGAAUUCGUGGUGUAGCGGUGAAAUGCUUAGAUAUCACGAAGAACUCCGAUUGCGAAGGCAGCUCACUGGGGUACAACUGACGCUGAGGCACGAAAGUGUGGGUAUCAAACAGG
RNAcentral lists this ribosomal RNA (253 nucleotides) under bacterium. RNAcentral describes it as "partial 16S ribosomal RNA". It matches the Rfam family "Bacterial small subunit ribosomal RNA", at positions 524 to 776 of the family's 1533-position model. RNAcentral also lists the same sequence under 1 other name. The record is from RNAcentral.